UAUGGGGUUGAGGUGCAAUAGGCGUGACACCUCCCCAGUUAGAAUUGACAUUUUCGUGCAGAGAAAAUGUUAAAUCGGAGUGAAUGCAAUUUCGUCUGACGGUUGUGUUUCCUCAGUGUUUUGUGUUUGUUGACAAGUGUUAGUGACUGAGUAUCGGCGUAUUUUUAAAAAAUGAUGGCUUUCCACUGUGCGCUGCGAAUUGAGUCAUGAGUAUCAUCUAGUGAUUCGAUUACGUCUGUUUCAGGACUAGCAAGUGAGAAGAGAUAUUUAUAAUGUCCGAGAAGUGGUUUCCAGGGAUGUCGAAUGGACUGCGUAACCCUAAUGUCACAUGUGGCUACGUCGGAGGACUUCGACUCUAUGACUAAUUGGACUUCGCAUGGAGAAUUGUCAGACACCUUGUAGAGUGGGUAAUUCUCUUUACAAAUGUCUAACGGUGUUGGAAAUUCUAUCGAUGGGUUGUUUUCUGCAAUUUCUUUAACAGCUUUCAAGAAAUGAGCCAUAGUAAAUAAAUGAGGGUGGAUUAGACCUCGUUUGGCAAAUAAUAUUCCAUCGAUCCGGCUUGAAAGCAAGUCUAAGUGGGGGCUGAGUGUGCAGUUGUCCGGAGGAAGUCUGCAUUUAGUCCUUGCUGACUGUAAGGAGUUUUGGAGCCUUUCCUUGGCAUCUUGGAUUUCGGGAAGAUUGACGUAAUGCAGAAUUUGGCAGAUUCCCAUAGUGCUACGUUUGCUAACUUUAUACGAUCUUUAUGUACUAUUUUGCAUUUUCGAUCACUAAUUCUAAUCUUAAUAUUAUUAUUAUCUGGGAUGUCCAUAAUUUGAAAGGGUCCGGUAUAUUCGUCGUCGAGCUUGGAUUUUCGGUUCCCUUUUAAAAGGUUAUGAGAUGCGUGGUCACGCAAUUCUUUCAAGGAGAGCACUGGUAAAAUUGGUGCCUUGGUCGGUCAAUGUCGCCUUUGGACAGCCGAAUUGGCAAAUUACGUUUUGGGAGAAUGCAUCAACGAUUUCGACGGAAGUUGCAUCUUUCAAUGGGAUUGCUAAUGAAUAUUUAAUCUAUUUCUACAAUUGUCAUAAGUGUGACGCGGUUUAUUGCAAAAGGAACAGACACUGGAUUGCCAUCGAGUGGCACGGAUUUGUGCGUUACAGUCUUUCGCGAAAUGCCCUUCCUUAUUGCAAUUCUGGUAUACGACGGGAGAGGCCAUUGAAUUUUGACAUUGUGUUAAUUUUUUACGGCGAGCAAUUUCGGCCUCGGCUGUACGAGCGAGUUCUAUUGCAGCUUCUAGAGACAACCGCUGUCACCAAGAAUCUUGUCACGUCCCGAGCGGCAGGAACGUUAAGUUGUGGGAAUUCCGCCGACAAAGGAUGAAAAUCCACUUUCUCGCGUCGGACGUUAUUUCGGAGUCACCUUUAAGUCUUUGUAUUGAAUUAAUUAAAGAUUGUCGAAUGAAUCUUAAAGUUUGUAAUAAAGGGACACAAUGUCGAACUGUUCA
Molecule: long non-coding RNA, 1480 nt
Filed under: Orussus abietinus
Lineage: Eukaryota; Metazoa; Arthropoda; Insecta; Hymenoptera; Orussidae
Description: uncharacterized LOC105703386, transcript variant X3
Source: RNAcentral